GAGCACGUAGGUGGGUUUGUAAGUCAGAUGUGAAAGCCUUCCGUUCAACGGAAGAAUUGCAUCUGAAACUGCGAGUCUUGAGUGUAGGAGGGGAGAAUGGCUCUUCUGGUGGAGCGGUGAAAUGCGUAGAUAUCAGAAGGAACUCCGGCGGCGAAAGCGAUUCUCUGGCCUAUUACUGACACUCAGUGUGCGAAAGCUAGGGGAGCAAACGGGAUUAGAUACCCCGGUAGUCCUAGCCGUAAACGAUGGGCACUAAGUAGAGGGGUUUU
Molecule: ribosomal RNA, 269 nt
Filed under: uncultured Planctomycetales bacterium
Lineage: Bacteria; Pseudomonadati; Planctomycetota; Planctomycetia; Planctomycetales
Description: partial 16S ribosomal RNA
Rfam family: Bacterial small subunit ribosomal RNA
Source: RNAcentral